RNAcentral lists this ribosomal RNA (1146 nucleotides) under Sphingomonas melonis. Its description in RNAcentral is "bacterial SSU rRNA". It matches the Rfam family "Bacterial small subunit ribosomal RNA", at positions 35 to 1210 of the family's 1533-position model. Lineage: Bacteria; Pseudomonadati; Pseudomonadota; Alphaproteobacteria; Sphingomonadales; Sphingomonadaceae. The record is from RNAcentral.
GCCGGCGGCUGCCUAACACAUGCAAGUCGAACGAUGCUUUCGGGCAUAGUGGCGCACGGGUGCGUAACGCGUGGGAAUCUGCCCUUUGGUCUGGAAUAACUGUUAGGAAACGACUAGCUAAUACCGGAUGAUGACGUAAGUCCAAAGAUUUAUCGCCAGAGGAUGAGCCCGCGUCGGAUUAGCUAGUUGGUGGGGUAAAGGCCUACCAAGGCGACGAUCCUUAGCUGGUCUGAGAGGAUGAUCAGCCACACUGGGUACUGAGACACGGCCCAGUACUCCUACGGGAGGCAGCAGUGGGGAAUAUUGGACAAUGGGCGAAAGCCUGAUCCAGCAAUGCCGCGUGAGUGAUGAAGGCCUUAGGGUUGUAAAGCUCUUUUACCCGGGAUGAUAAUGACAGUACCGGGAGAAUAAGCUCCGGCUAACUCCGUGCCAGCAGCCGCGGUAAUACGGAGGGAGCUAGCGUUGUUCGGGAUUACUGGGCGUAAAGCGCACGUAGGCGGCUUUGUAAGUUAGAGGUGAAAGCCUGGAGCUCAACUCCAGAACUGCCUUUGAUACUGCAUGGCUUUGAAUCCAGGAGAGGUGAGUGGAAUUCCGAGUGUAGAGGUGAAAUUCGUAGAUAUUCGGAAGAACACCAGUGGCGAAGGCGGCUCACUGGACUGGUAUUGACGCUGAGGUGCGAAAGCGUGGGGGAGCAAACAGGAUUAGAUACCCUGGUAGUCCACGCCGUAAACGAUGAUAACUAGCUGUCCGGCCCCUUGGUGCUAUGGGUGGCGCAGCUAACUGCUUUAAGUUAUCCGCCUCGGGAGUACGGCCGCAAGGUUAAAACUCAAAUGAAUUGACGGGGGCCUGCACAAGCGGUGGAGCAUGUGGUUUAAUUCGAAGCAACGCGCAGAACCUUACCAGCAUUUGACAUGGCCGGACGACUUCCAGAGAUGGAUUUCUUCCCUUCGGGGACCUGAACACAGGUGCUGCAUGGCUGUCGUCAGCUCGUGUCGCGAGAUGCUGGGUUAAGCCGCCGCAUCGAGCGCAACCCUCGCCUUUAGUUACCAAUCAUUGACCUGGAGCUUCUAAAGGAACCUGCCGGUGAUAAGCCCGGAGGAAGGUCGCGGACCAACUCCAAAGUCCUCCCCCGGUCCUUUACGCGCU